Molecule: transfer RNA, 79 nt
Filed under: Fibrobacter succinogenes subsp. succinogenes S85
Lineage: Bacteria; Pseudomonadati; Fibrobacterota; Fibrobacteria; Fibrobacterales; Fibrobacteraceae
Description: tRNA-His
Rfam family: tRNA
About the family: Transfer RNA (tRNA) molecules are approximately 80 nucleotides in length.
Source: RNAcentral
GGUGGAUGUAGCUCAAUUGGUUAGAGUCCCAGAUUGUGAUUCUGGAUGUUGCCGGUUCGAGUCCGGUCAUCCACCCGAA